Molecule: long non-coding RNA, 220 nt
Filed under: Canis lupus familiaris (dog)
Lineage: Eukaryota; Metazoa; Chordata; Mammalia; Carnivora; Canidae
Description: lncRNA (ENSCAFG00030014410.1)
Source: RNAcentral
CUUGGGGAAAAGUAUAUUUGCUUCUAUAGAAGAAUGCAUCAGAUAGAGCUUAGCAAAAUUUUGUGGUUUUGGUAGCCCUGGCCAGUUAAUAGGAUCAAAUGCUUGGUUGACUGAUUGAUUAUUUAUGCAGAAAUCACCAUUAUGAUAAGAAAAAAGAAGUCGCCUCAAAGGUUCCAAGAAACAUGAAAGCAGAAGCCAAAUAGGUCCAAGGAGAAGCUGA